CAGAUUUGAUCAUGGCUCAGAACGAACGCUGGCGGCAGGCUUAACACAUGCAAGUUGAACGGGAUUUGUAUGGUGCUUGCACCAUGUAAUGAGAGUAGCGCACUGGUGAGUAACACGUGGGAACAUACCUUGAAGUGGGGGACAACAGUUGGAAACGACUGCUAAUACCGCAUAAUCCCUGAGGGGGAAAGAUUUAUCGCUUUAAGAUUGGCCCGCAGAAGAUUAGGUAGUUGGU
This 235-nucleotide ribosomal RNA is filed under the name uncultured bacterium. RNAcentral's name for it is "partial 16S ribosomal RNA". It matches the Rfam family "Bacterial small subunit ribosomal RNA", at positions 9 to 253 of the family's 1533-position model. The record is from RNAcentral.